This 475-nucleotide ribosomal RNA is filed under the name uncultured bacterium. RNAcentral describes it as "bacterial SSU rRNA". It matches the Rfam family "Bacterial small subunit ribosomal RNA", at positions 28 to 507 of the family's 1533-position model. The record is from RNAcentral. RNAcentral also lists the same sequence under 1 other name.
GACGAACGCUGGCGGCGUGCCUAACACAUGCAAGUCGUACGGAGUUCACUUGGAAGCUUGCUUCCGAGUGAACUUAGUGGCGGACGGGUGAGUAACGCGUGAGCAACCUGCCUCACAGAGGGGGAUAACACACGGAAACGUGUGCUAAUACCGCAUAAUCCGAUGAAGCGGCAUCGCUUUAUCGGCAAAGGAGCAAUCCGCUGUGAGAUGGGCUCGCGUCCGAUUAGAUAGUUGGUGAGGUAACGGCUCACCAAGUCUACGAUCGGUAGCCGGACUGAGAGGUUGGACGGCCACAUUGGGACUGAGACACGGCCCAAACUCCUACGGGAGGCAGCAGUGAGGGAUAUUGCACAAUGGGCGAAAGCCUGAUGCAGCGACGCCGCGUGAGGGAUGACGGUCUUCGGAUUGUAAACCUCUGUCCUUGGUGAAGAAGAAAGUGACGGUAGCCAAGGAGGAAGCCACGGCUAACUACGUG